GAUGAAGAACGUAGCGAAAUGCGAUAAGUAAUGCGAAUUGCAGAAUUCCAGUGAAUCAUCGAAUCUUUGAACGCACAUUGCGCCCGCUGGUAUUCCGGCGGGCAUGCCUGUUCGAGCGUCAUUUCAACCCUCAAGCCCCCGGGUUUGGUGUUGGGGAUCGGCUCUGCCCUUCUGGGCGGUGCCGCCCCCGAAAUACAUUGGCGGUCUCGCUGCAGCCUCCAUUGCGUAGUAGCUAACACCUCGCAACUGGAACGCGGCGCGGCCAUGCCGUAAAACCCCAACUUCUGAAUGUUGACCUCGGAUCAGGUAGGAAUACCCGCUGAACUUAAGCAUAUCAAUAAGCGGAGGA
RNAcentral lists this unclassified non-coding RNA (349 nucleotides) under soil metagenome. Its description in RNAcentral is "partial contains 5.8S ribosomal RNA, internal transcribed spacer 2, and large subunit ribosomal RNA". The stretch from base 1 to 121 matches the Rfam family "5.8S ribosomal RNA", at positions 35 to 154 of the family's 154-position model. The record is from RNAcentral.